CAUUACACUCAUUGUCCAUCGAACACAACCUCCCUGCCGCCAUUCCCCGGCUGCCUGGAGCUCAGCAACGUGACCAGCGGUGACAACGGGAGUUUCACGUGCCGUGUUGAGUUUGUUGACUCUCCCACGCAGACGCAUACGGUGCUACUCACAGUAUACGCUCCUCCUGCCAAGAUCGUCAUAGAGGACGAGGAGGGGCGCGCGCUGCCGCCUGACGAAGAAGGCGUCGUGGUCGUCGGGCCGCUGGAUGAAGACGAGCGCCUCAGGCUCGCCUGUACAGCUUACGGCGGCUGGCCAGAGCCACAGAUCGCGUGGGCUGUGGAGCAGGAG
This is a long non-coding RNA of Hyalella azteca, 330 nucleotides long. RefSeq lists it as uncharacterized. Lineage: Eukaryota; Metazoa; Arthropoda; Malacostraca; Amphipoda; Hyalellidae. The record is from RefSeq and is a predicted model, not a curated record. The transcript is spliced from 3 exons.